AGUGAACGCUGGCGGUAGGCCUAACACAUGCAAGUCGAACGGCAGCACAGUAAGAGCUUGCUCUUACGGGUGGCGAGUGGCGGACGGGUGAGGAAUACAUCGGAAUCUACUUUUUCGUGGGGGAUAACGUAGGGAAACUUACGCUAAUACCGCAUACGACCUACGGGUGAAAGCAGGGGAUCUUCGGACCUUGCGCGAUUGAAUGAGCCGAUGUCGGAUUAGCUAGUUGGCGGGGUAAAGGCCCACCAAGGCGACGAUCCGUAGCUGGUCUGAGAGGAUGAUGAGCCAAAAGAGAAGAGGAGAAGGGUCAAGACUCCUAGGGGGGGCAAGAGGGGGGAAAAUGGAACAAUGGGCACAAUCAUGCACCACCAAUCCCGCGUGGGUGAAGAAGCCAUUGGGUUUAUAAACCCCUUUUUUUGGAAAAGAAAGGCAGAGGGUAAAAACCCCCCUGUUCAAACGGUACCCAAAGAAUAAGCCCCGGCUAACUUCG
RNAcentral lists this ribosomal RNA (490 nucleotides) under uncultured bacterium. Its description in RNAcentral is "partial 16S ribosomal RNA". It matches the Rfam family "Bacterial small subunit ribosomal RNA", at positions 29 to 505 of the family's 1533-position model. The record is from RNAcentral.